Molecule: transfer RNA, 72 nt
Filed under: Xylaria digitata
Lineage: Eukaryota; Fungi; Ascomycota; Sordariomycetes; Xylariales; Xylariaceae
Description: tRNA-Gln
Rfam family: tRNA
About the family: Transfer RNA (tRNA) molecules are approximately 80 nucleotides in length. Their secondary structure includes four short double-helical elements and three loops (D, anti-codon, and T loops). Further hydrogen bonds mediate the characteristic L-shaped molecular structure. tRNAs have two regions of fundamental functional importance: the anti-codon, which is responsible for specific mRNA codon recognition, and the 3' end, to which the tRNAs corresponding amino acid is attached (by aminoacyl-tRNA synthetases). tRNAs cope with the degeneracy of the genetic code in two manners: having more than one tRNA (with a specific anti-codon) for a particular amino acid; and 'wobble' base-pairing, i.e. permitting non-standard base-pairing at the 3rd anti-codon position.
Source: RNAcentral
GGUUUCUUAGUGUAAUGGUUAUCACAGCAGAUUCUGAUUCCGCUAAUCUGGGUUCGAUUUACAGGGAGACCU